GAUGAAGAACGUAGCAAAAUGCGAUAAGUAAUGUGAAUUGCAGAAUUCAGUGAAUCAUUGAAUCUUUGAACGCACAUUGCGCCCGCCAGUAUUCUGGCGGGCAUGCCUGUUCGAGCGUCAUUUCAACCCUCAAGCCCUCGGGUUUGGUGUUGGGGAUCGGCGAGCCUUUCUGGCAAGCCGGCCCCGAAAUCUAGUGGCGGUCUCGCUGCAGCCUCCAUUGCGUAGUAGUAAAACCCUCGCAACUGGACCGCGGCGCGGCCAAGCCGUUAAACCCCCAACUUCUGAAUGUUGACCUCGGAUCAGGUAGGAAUACCCGCUGAACUUAAGCAUAUCAAUAAGCGGAGGA
RNAcentral lists this unclassified non-coding RNA (346 nucleotides) under soil metagenome. RNAcentral describes it as "partial contains 5.8S ribosomal RNA, internal transcribed spacer 2, and large subunit ribosomal RNA". The stretch from base 1 to 120 matches the Rfam family "5.8S ribosomal RNA", at positions 35 to 154 of the family's 154-position model. The record is from RNAcentral.